GUUCAGGCAAAAAGUCAGCAUUACUUAAGGGCUUGCUCCUGCUCUUACUACCCAGGGUUCCGUCUCCACACAGCAGCUAGAGGGAUUGUGUUAUGUCACACCUUUGCUGGGAACUAAAGUCCUUGGAAAUGAGUUUCUGUGAUCUUCCCCCACUCCUACCAUGUGACCUCAUGUCCUACUGCUGUCCUCACUCAAUUUCAUCCCAGCUUCCUUGCUGUUCCUCAGACACACCAAGCACUUUCUAAUGCCUUUAUGAUGAGGAAACUCCCCAGAGCCUAAAUGUCACAUUAGAGGCUUUCCGUGAUCACCCCACAGACUGUUCCUGUUUGCUUUAUUUCUAGGUCAGCAUGUGAUUCGAACACCCAAAUUGACUAGAAUUUUCUUUAGGGCUAGAGCAACCGCUUUCUCAACAGCCCCACAAGAGGUAGAGGUCUUAUGACAUUCUUAUCACUAGAAUGGGAGCAAAAGUGAUAUAUUACUUCUCUCCAAGACAAUCAAGAGUUGGUAGGCCAAUGGAGGCCAAAGAUCCAAAUAGCAUGGCUACAAGAUGGAGGAAAGCUUCUCUACCCUUAGCAGACCACACAAAUGAGAAAUAAAACUUUAUUGUGUUGAAGAGUUUAUAGUUUGUAUAGUGUAUAUAUUGUGUUUAUACUUGUGUUCGUUCUUAUGGCAGCAUAGCCUAGCUUGACCCUAAUUCAAUAAGUAGUCAAACAUCAUUUAUAUAUUUGAGUCUUGUGUUUGCUUUACAAUGACCUUCCAUUAUAAUCCUUUGUCCAUUUUUCUAUCAAAAUCCGUACACUCUUAAGCACCAUGCUAUAUUAAAUGAAUUGUAGGGUGGUUGCUAGCUCAUUGCUGCUAUGCUUCGUCGUUUCUCUGCUCUUGAGAUUCUUAAAGGUGACUUUAUGUAGAAUAAGUUUUUGAAAUUUCAGCUGUUUGUCUUUUCAAUUCUAAGCUCUGAUUCCAUCUCUAAAUUCUGAAAUUCCUAAGGGAAAUUAGUAGGUGUAUUGUAUCAGUCAGGCAGACUAGAUUACACUACAGUGACAAACAACCCCCAAAUCUUAGUGGCUUAAAAUAAUAAAGGUUUAUUUCUUGCACAUACUACAUGUUCAUUGAGGGUUGGUCAUGCUUCUUACUCCAGAAACCAGGCUACAG
Molecule: long non-coding RNA, 1152 nt
Filed under: Equus caballus (horse)
Lineage: Eukaryota; Metazoa; Chordata; Mammalia; Perissodactyla; Equidae
Description: lncRNA (ENSECAG00000055168.1)
Source: RNAcentral